RNAcentral lists this non-coding RNA (27 nucleotides) under Bombyx mori (domestic silkworm). The record is from RNAcentral. Lineage: Eukaryota; Metazoa; Arthropoda; Insecta; Lepidoptera; Bombycidae.
UGAAUGUCAUCGAAAAUUGUGAGCAUC